This 497-nucleotide ribosomal RNA is filed under the name uncultured bacterium. Its description in RNAcentral is "partial 16S ribosomal RNA". It matches the Rfam family "Bacterial small subunit ribosomal RNA", at positions 28 to 507 of the family's 1533-position model. The record is from RNAcentral.
GAUGAACGCUGGCGGCGUGCCUAAUACAUGCAAGUCGAGCGAACACACGGUGAGCUUUUUCCUCUGACGGUAGCGGCGGACGGGUGAGUAACACGUGGAUAACCUACCUCUAUGACUUGGGGAACUUCGUGAAACCGGUUCCACUACCACCUCAUACGUUCAACCGCAUGGUUCAAUAGUUAAAGACGCCUUUGCCGUCUCUAAUAGACGGAUCCGCGCCGGAUUAGCUGGUUGGUAAGGUAACGGCUUACCAAGGCAACGAUGCGUAGCCGACCUGAGAGGAUGAUCGGCCACACUGGAACUGAGACACGGUCCAGACUCCUACGGGAGGCAGCAGUGGGGAAUAUUGCGCAAUGGGCGAAAGCCUGACGGAGCAACGCCGCGUGAGUGAUGAAGGUCUUCGGAUCGUAAAACUCUGUUAUUAGGGAAGAAAAGAUGUGUAAGUAACUAUGCACGUCUUGACGGUACCUAAUGAGAAAGCAACGGCUAACUACGUG